Unclassified non-coding RNA from Delphinapterus leucas (beluga whale), 302 nucleotides. It matches the Rfam family "Metazoan signal recognition particle RNA". From Rfam's summary of the family: The signal recognition particle (SRP) is a universally conserved ribonucleoprotein. It is involved in the co-translational targeting of proteins to membranes. NCBI's taxonomy places the organism in Eukaryota, Metazoa, Chordata, Mammalia, Artiodactyla, Monodontidae. The record is from Ensembl.
ACCAGGCGCGGUGGCGCGUGCCUGUAGUCCCAGCUACUCGGGAGGCUGAGGCAGGAGGAUCACUUGAGCCCAGGAGUUCUGGGCUGUAGUGCGCUAUGCCGAUCGGGUGUCCGCACUAAGUUCGGCAUCAAUAUGGUGACCUCCCAGGAGCGGGGGACCACCAGGUUGCCUAAGGAGGGGUGAACCGACCCAGGUCGGAAACGGAGCAGGUCAAAAAACUCGCGUGCUGAUCAGCAGUGGGAUCGCGCCUGUGAAUAGCCACUGCACUCCAGCCUGGGCAACAUAGCGAGACCCCGUCUCUU